RNAcentral lists this ribosomal RNA (253 nucleotides) under uncultured bacterium. Its description in RNAcentral is "partial 16S ribosomal RNA". It matches the Rfam family "Bacterial small subunit ribosomal RNA", at positions 524 to 776 of the family's 1533-position model. The record is from RNAcentral.
UACGUGGGGGGCAAGCGUUGUUCGGAAUUACUGGGCGUAAAGGGCGCGUAGGCGGCAUGGCAAGUGGAAGGUGAAAUCCCUCGGCUUAACCGAGGAACUGCCCUCCAAACUGCUUUGCUUGAGGCCGGGAGAGGUGAGUGGAAUUCCCAGUGUAGCGGUGAAAUGCGUAGAUAUUGGGAGGAACACCAGUGGCGAAGGCGGCUCACUGGACCGGUUCUGACGCUGAUGCGCGAAAGCGUGGGGAGCAAACGGG